This 69-nucleotide transfer RNA is filed under the name Urocitellus parryii (Arctic ground squirrel). RNAcentral describes it as "Spermophilus parryii (Arctic ground squirrel) tRNA". It matches the Rfam family "tRNA". From Rfam's summary of the family: Transfer RNA (tRNA) molecules are approximately 80 nucleotides in length. Their secondary structure includes four short double-helical elements and three loops (D, anti-codon, and T loops). The record is from Rfam by way of RNAcentral. RNAcentral also lists the same sequence under 1 other name. Lineage: Eukaryota; Metazoa; Chordata; Mammalia; Rodentia; Sciuridae.
GGGGUUAUAGCUCAUUGGUAGAGCACUUGUCUAGCAUGUAUGAGGCACUGAGUUUGAUUCUCAGCACCA